RNAcentral lists this ribosomal RNA (3115 nucleotides) under Salmonella enterica subsp. salamae serovar 57:z29:z42. RNAcentral describes it as "bacterial LSU rRNA". It matches the Rfam family "Bacterial large subunit ribosomal RNA". The record is from RNAcentral. Lineage: Bacteria; Pseudomonadati; Pseudomonadota; Gammaproteobacteria; Enterobacterales; Enterobacteriaceae.
GGGUUGUGAGGUUAAGCGACCAAGCGUACACGGUGGAUGCCCUGGCAGUCAGAGGCGAUGAAGGACGUGCUAAUCUGCGAUAAGCGCCGGUAAGGUGAUAUGAACCGUUAUAACCGGCGAUUUCCGAAUGGGGAAACCCAGUGUGACUCGUCACACUAUCAUUAACUGAAUCCAUAGGUUAAUGAGGCGAACCGGGGGAACUGAAACAUCUAAGUACCCCGAGGAAAAGAAAUCAACCGAGAUUCCCCCAGUAGCGGCGAGCGAACGGGGAGGAGCCCAGAGCCUGAAUCAGCAUGUGUGUUAGUGGAAGCGUCUGGAAAGGCGCGCGAUACAGGGUGACAGCCCCGUACACAAAAGCGCAUAUGCUGUGAGCUCGAUGAGUAGGGCGGGACACGUGGUAUCCUGUCUGAAUAUGGGGGGACCAUCCUCCAAGGCUAAAUACUCCUGACUGACCGAUAGUGAACCAGUACCGUGAGGGAAAGGCGAAAAGAACCCCGGCGAGGGGAGUGAAACAGAACCUGAAACCGUGUACGUACAAGCAGUGGGAGCCCCACCACUAAGCCAGUGGUGAACUCCACAUACGCAUCCUUUGCGGAAGGUGCGGUUAACGGAGCGAAAGCGACGUUCAACCUCAAAAAAAGCAGAGGGGGCUUAGUGGUGGGGUGACUGCGUACCUUUUGUAUAAUGGGUCAGCGACUUAUAUUCUGUAGCAAGGUUAACCGCAUAGGGGAGCCGAAGGGAAACCGAGUCUUAAUUGGGCGUUAAGUUGCAGGGUAUAGACCCGAAACCCGGUGAUCUAGCCAUGGGCAGGUUGAAGGUUGGGUAACACUAACUGGAGGACCGAACCGACUAAUGUUGAAAAAUUAGCGGAUGACCUGUGGCUGGGGGUGAAAGGCCAAUCAAACCGGGAGAUAGCUGGUUCUCCCCGAAAGCUAUUUAGGUAGCGCCUCGUGAAUUCAUCUCCGGGGGUAGAGCACUGUUUCGGCUAGGGGGCCAUCCCGGCUUACCAACCCGAUGCAAACUGCGAAUACCGGAGAAUGUUAUCACGGGAGACACACGGCGGGUGCUAACGUCCGUCGUGAAGAGGGAAACAACCCAGACCGCCAGCUAAGGUCCCAAAGUCAUGGUUAAGUGGGAAACGAUGUGGGAAGGCCCAGACAGCCAGGAUGUUGGCUUAGAAGCAGCCAUCAUUUAAAGAAAGCGUAAUAGCUCACUGGUCGAGUCGGCCUGCGCGGAAGAUGUAACGGGGCUAAACCAUGCACCGAAGCUGCGGCAGCGAACGUAUCACUUAAAACGGUUCAGAAGCUUACGAUUGACGGAGCGAAGCGACGUCAAAGCGUAUACAAAGUCGAGUCGGUUUAGGGAUACGUUCGUUGGGUAGGGGAGCGUUCUGUAAGCCGUUGAAGGUGUGUCGUGAGGCAUGCUGGAGGUAUCAGAAGUGCGAAUGCUGACAUAAGUAACGAUAAAGCGGGUGAAAAACCCGCUCGCCGGAAGACCAAGGGUUCCUGUCCAACGUUAAUCGGGGCAGGGUGAGUCGACCCCUAAGGCGAGGCCGAAAGGCGUAGUCGAUGGGAAACGGGUUAAUAUUCCCGUACUUGGUGUUACUGCGAAGGGGGGACGGAGAAGGCUAUGUUGGCCGGGCGACGGUUGUCCCGGUUUAAGCAUGUAGGCGGAUGUUCCAGGUAAAUCCGGAACGUUACUAACGCUGAGGUGUGAUGACGAGGCACCACGGUGCUGAAGCAACAAAUGCCCUGCUUCCAGGAAAAGCCUCUAAGCAUCAGGUAACAUCAAAUCGUACCCCAAACCGACACAGGUGGUCAGGUAGAGAAUACCAAGGCGCUUGAGAGAACUCGGGUGAAGGAACUAGGCAAAAUGGUGCCGUAACUUCGGGAGAAGGCACGCUGACACGUAGGUGAAGUGAUUUACUCACGGAGCUGAAGUCAGUCGAAGAUACCAGCUGGCUGCAACUGUUUAUUAAAAACACAGCACUGUGCAAACACGAAAGUGGACGUAUACGGUGUGACGCCUGCCCGGUGCCGGAAGGUUAAUUGAUGGGGUCAGCGCAAGCGAAGCUCCUGAUCGAAGCCCCGGUAAACGGCGGCCGUAACUAUAACGGUCCUAAGGUAGCGAAAUUCCUUGUCGGGUAAGUUCCGACCUGCACGAAUGGCGUAAUGAUGGCCAGGCUGUCUCCACCCGAGACUCAGUGAAAUUGAACUCGCUGUGAAGAUGCAGUGUACCCGCGGCAAGACGGAAAGACCCCGUGAACCUUUACUAUAGCUUGACACUGAACAUUGAGCCUUGAUGUGUAGGAUAGGUGGGAGGCUUUGAAGCGUGGACGCCAGUCUGCGUGGAGCCAACCUUGAAAUACCACCCUUUAAUGUUUGAUGUUCUAACGUGGACCCGUAAUCCGGGUUGCGGACAGUGUCUGGUGGGUAGUUUGACUGGGGCGGUCUCCUCCUAAAGAGUAACGGAGGAGCACGAAGGUUGGCUAAUCCUGGUCGGACAUCAGGAGGUUAGUGCAAUGGCAUAAGCCAGCUUGACUGCGAGCGUGACGGCGCGAGCAGGUGCGAAAGCAGGUCAUAGUGAUCCGGUGGUUCUGAAUGGAAGGGCCAUCGCUCAACGGAUAAAAGGUACUCCGGGGAUAACAGGCUGAUACCGCCCAAGAGUUCAUAUCGACGGCGGUGUUUGGCACCUCGAUGUCGGCUCAUCACAUCCUGGGGCUGAAGUAGGUCCCAAGGGUAUGGCUGUUCGCCAUUUAAAGUGGUACGCGAGCUGGGUUUAGAACGUCGUGAGACAGUUCGGUCCCUAUCUGCCGUGGGCGCUGGAGAAUUGAGGGGGGCUGCUCCUAGUACGAGAGGACCGGAGUGGACGCAUCACUGGUGUUCGGGUUGUCAUGCCAAUGGCACUGCCCGGUAGCUAAAUGCGGAAGAGAUAAGUGCUGAAAGCAUCUAAGCACGAAACUUGCCCCGAGAUGAGUUCUCCCUGAGACUUUAAGUCUCCUGAAGGAACGUUGAAGACGACGACGUUGAUAGGCCGGGUGUGUAAGCGCAGCGAUGCGUUGAGCUAACCGGUACUAAUGAACCGUGAGGCUUAACCUUACAACGCCGAAGCUGUU